UAAAUGCGUGAGGGAUUGAAGUGGAGCUCUUUUUUAAGGCGAUUUUUCUUCGCCUUAAAAAAAGCGGGAACGUAAAGCCCGACCCGGA
This 88-nucleotide small RNA is filed under the name Flavobacterium resistens. Its description in RNAcentral is "Flavo-1 RNA". The stretch from base 12 to 88 matches the Rfam family "Flavo-1 RNA", at positions 9 to 76 of the family's 76-position model. The record is from RNAcentral. Lineage: Bacteria; Pseudomonadati; Bacteroidota; Flavobacteriia; Flavobacteriales; Flavobacteriaceae. RNAcentral also lists the same sequence under 1 other name.